This 453-nucleotide ribosomal RNA is filed under the name uncultured soil bacterium. RNAcentral describes it as "bacterial SSU rRNA". It matches the Rfam family "Bacterial small subunit ribosomal RNA", at positions 26 to 466 of the family's 1533-position model. The record is from RNAcentral.
AGAGUGAACGCUGGCGGUAGGCCUAACACAUGCAAGUCGAACGGCAGCACAGGAGAGCUUGCUCUCUGGGUGGCGAGUGGCGGACGGGUGAGGAAUACAUCGGAAUCUACCUUUUCGUGGGGGAUAACGUAGGGAAACUUACGCUAAUACCGCAUAAGACCUUCGGGUGAAAGCCGGGGACCUUCGGGCCUGGGCGCGGACAGAUGAGCCGAUGUCGGAUUAGCUAGUUGGUGAGGUAAAGGCUCACCAAGGCAACGAUCCUUAGCUGGUCUGAGAGGAUGAUCGGCCACACUGGGACUGAGACACGGCCCAGACCUCCUACGGGAGCAGCAGUAGGGAAUAUUAGGACAAGUGGGACGAAAGCCUGACUCCGAGCAAUGCCGCGUGAGUGAUGAAGGUCCGUUAGGGUUGUAAAGUCUUCUUUACCCGAGACUAGAUAAUGACUAGUACGUA